GCGGUCGUGGCGGAAUGGCAGACGCGCACGCUUGAGGGGCGUGUGGGGGUUACCCCGUGGAAGUUCGAGUCUUCUCGACCGCA
Molecule: transfer RNA, 83 nt
Filed under: Tumebacillus permanentifrigoris
Lineage: Bacteria; Bacillati; Bacillota; Bacilli; Caryophanales; Alicyclobacillaceae
Description: tRNA-Leu
Rfam family: tRNA
About the family: Transfer RNA (tRNA) molecules are approximately 80 nucleotides in length. Their secondary structure includes four short double-helical elements and three loops (D, anti-codon, and T loops).
Source: RNAcentral